RNAcentral lists this ribosomal RNA (1459 nucleotides) under Acinetobacter baumannii Naval-18. RNAcentral describes it as "bacterial SSU rRNA". It matches the Rfam family "Bacterial small subunit ribosomal RNA". Lineage: Bacteria; Pseudomonadati; Pseudomonadota; Gammaproteobacteria; Moraxellales; Moraxellaceae. The record is from RNAcentral.
AUUGAACGCUGGCGGCAGGCUUAACACAUGCAAGUCGAGCGGGGGAAGGUAGCUUGCUACCGGACCUAGCGGCGGACGGGUGAGUAAUGCUUAGGAAUCUGCCUAUUAGUGGGGGACAACAUCUCGAAAGGGAUGCUAAUACCGCAUACGUCCUACGGGAGAAAGCAGGGGAUCUACGGACCUUGCGCUAAUAGAUGAGCCUAAGUCGGAUUAGCUAGUUGGUGGGGUAAAGGCCUACCAAGGCGACGAUCUGUAGCGGGUCUGAGAGGAUGAUCCGCCACACUGGGACUGAGACACGGCCCAGACUCCUACGGGAGGCAGCAGUGGGGAAUAUUGGACAAUGGGGGGAACCCUGAUCCAGCCAUGCCGCGUGUGUGAAGAAGGCCUUAUGGUUGUAAAGCACUUUAAGCGAGGAGGAGGCUACUUUAGUUAAUACCUAGAGAUAGUGGACGUUACUCGCAGAAUAAGCACCGGCUAACUCUGUGCCAGCAGCCGCGGUAAUACAGAGGGUGCGAGCGUUAAUCGGAUUUACUGGGCGUAAAGCGUGCGUAGGCGGCUUAUUAAGUCGGAUGUGAAAUCCCCGAGCUUAACUUGGGAAUUGCAUUCGAUACUGGUGAGCUAGAGUAUGGGAGAGGAUGGUAGAAUUCCAGGUGUAGCGGUGAAAUGCGUAGAGAUCUGGAGGAAUACCGAUGGCGAAGGCAGCCAUCUGGCCUAAUACUGACGCUGAGGUACGAAAGCAUGGGGAGCAAACAGGAUUAGAUACCCUGGUAGUCCAUGCCGUAAACGAUGUCUACUAGCCGUUGGGGCCUUUGAGGCUUUAGUGGCGCAGCUAACGCGAUAAGUAGACCGCCUGGGGAGUACGGUCGCAAGACUAAAACUCAAAUGAAUUGACGGGGGCCCGCACAAGCGGUGGAGCAUGUGGUUUAAUUCGAUGCAACGCGAAGAACCUUACCUGGCCUUGACAUACUAGAAACUUUCCAGAGAUGGAUUGGUGCCUUCGGGAAUCUAGAUACAGGUGCUGCAUGGCUGUCGUCAGCUCGUGUCGUGAGAUGUUGGGUUAAGUCCCGCAACGAGCGCAACCCUUUUCCUUACUUGCCAGCAUUUCGGAUGGGAACUUUAAGGAUACUGCCAGUGACAAACUGGAGGAAGGCGGGGACGACGUCAAGUCAUCAUGGCCCUUACGGCCAGGGCUACACGCGUGCUACAAUGGUCGGUACAAAGGGUUGCUACACAGCGAUGUGAUGCUAAUCUCAAAAAGCCGAUCGUAGUCCGGAUUGGAGUCUGCAACUCGACUCCAUGAAGUCGGAAUCGCUAGUAACCGCGGAUCAGAAUGCCGCGGUGAAUACGUUCCCGGGCCUUGUACACACCGCCCGUCACACCAUGGGAGUUUGUUGCACCAGAAGUAGCUAGCCUAACUGCAAAGAGGGCGGUUACCACGGUGUGGCCGAUGACUGGGGUG